This 495-nucleotide ribosomal RNA is filed under the name uncultured bacterium. Its description in RNAcentral is "partial 16S ribosomal RNA". It matches the Rfam family "Bacterial small subunit ribosomal RNA", at positions 28 to 523 of the family's 1533-position model. The record is from RNAcentral.
GAUGAACGCUAGCGGGAGGCCUAACACAUGCAAGCCGAGCGGUAUGGGCAGCUUGCUGCCCAGAGAGCGGCGUACGGGUGCGUAACACGUGUGCAACCUGCCCCUGUCCGGGGGAUGACCCUCCGAUAGGAGGAUUAAUACCUCAUGACACCCUGCCCGGCAGCGGGCGGGGUUGACAACCCGGGUGGACAGGGAUGGGCACGCGCGAGGGUAGAUAGGUGGCGGGGUAAGGGUCCACCAAGUCUGCGAUCUCUAGGGGUCCUGAGAGGGAGACCCGCCACGCGAGGACUGAGACACGGACCAGACUUCUACGGGAGGCAGCAGUGAGGAAUAUUGGACAAUGGGUGGAAGCCUGAUCCAGCCAUCCCGCGUGAAGGAUUAAGGUCCUAUGGAUUGUAAACUUCUUUUGUACGGGGAUAAACCUCCCUACGUGUAGGGAGCUGAAGGUACCGUACGAAUAAGCACCGGCUAACUACGUGCCAGCAGCCGCCGCAG